Molecule: ribosomal RNA, 221 nt
Filed under: uncultured fungus
Lineage: Eukaryota; Fungi
Description: partial 28S ribosomal RNA
Rfam family: Eukaryotic large subunit ribosomal RNA
Source: RNAcentral
UGACCUCAAAUCAGGUAGGAUACCCGCUGAACUUAAGCAUAUCAAUAAGCGGAGGAAAAGAAACUAACAAGGAUUCCCCUAGUAACUGCGAGUGAAGCGGGAAAAGCUCAAAUUUGAAAUCUGGCAGUUUUUGACUGUCCGAGUUGUAAUCUAGAGAAGUGUUACCUGGCAGGACCAUGUACAAGUCUCCUGGAAUGGACCAUCAUAGAGGGUGAGAAUCC